AUUGAACGCUGGCGGCAGGCCUAACACAUGCAAGUCGAACGGGAGGCGGACGGGUUAGUUAUGAAUGGGACACUGACUGGUGGAGGGGGAUAACUACCGGGAGCGGAAACUAAUACCGCAUACCAUAGGAUAGGCCCAAUUAGGAUUAGCUAGGGUGUGGGGUAACGGCUCACCUAGGCGACGAUCCGUAGCUGGUCUGAGAGGAUGACCAGCCACACUGGAACUGAGACACGGUCCAGACUCCUACGGGAGGCAGCAGUGGGGAAUAUUGCACAAUGGGCGCAAGCCUGAUGCAGCCAUGCCGCGUGUAUGAAGAAGGUCUUCGGGUUGUAAAGUACUUUCAGCUGGGAGGCGUUACCCGCAGAAGAAGCACCGGCUAACUCCGUGCCAGCAGCCGCGGUAAUAC
Molecule: ribosomal RNA, 406 nt
Filed under: uncultured bacterium
Lineage: Bacteria
Description: partial 16S ribosomal RNA
Rfam family: Bacterial small subunit ribosomal RNA
Source: RNAcentral